GAUGAACGCUGGCGGCGUGCCUAAUACAUGCAAGUCGAGCGAACGGACGAGAAGCCUGCUUUUCUGAUGUUAGCGGCGGACGGGUGAGUAACACGUGGAUAAUCUACCUAUAAGACUGGGAUAACUUCGGGAAACCGGAGCUAAUAGCGGAUAAUAUUUUGAACCGCAUGGUUCAAAAGUGAAAGACGGUCUUGCUGUCACGUAUAGAUGGAUCCGCGCUGCAUUAGCUAGUUGGUAAGGUAACGGCUUACCAAGGCAACGAUGCAUAGCCGACCUGAGAGGGUGAUCGGCCACCCUGGAACUGAGACACGGUCCAGACUCCUACGGGAGGCAGCAGUAGGGAAUCUUCCGCAAUGGGCGAAAGCCUGACGGAGCAACGCCGCGUGAGUGAUGAAGGUCUUCGGAUCGUAAAACUCUGUUAUUAGGGAAGAACAUAUGUGUAAGUAACUGUGCACAUCUUGACGGUACCUAAUCAGAAAGCCGCGGCUAACUACGUG
Molecule: ribosomal RNA, 497 nt
Filed under: uncultured bacterium
Lineage: Bacteria
Description: partial 16S ribosomal RNA
Rfam family: Bacterial small subunit ribosomal RNA
Source: RNAcentral